Molecule: long non-coding RNA, 585 nt
Filed under: Nicotiana benthamiana
Lineage: Eukaryota; Viridiplantae; Streptophyta; Magnoliopsida; Solanales; Solanaceae
Description: long non-coding RNA (NBEN_LNC006487)
Source: RNAcentral
CACCUGGUGGGACUAUACUGGAUAGUUGUAGUAAUAGUAGUAGUAGUCUCUGCAGCUCAAAACACUAUUUAUGCUAUAGAGGGCGAGCCUCCAUGCAUUGUCGCAGGGGCAUAGGCAGAAUUUAUUAUAAGCGGUGUCAGACAUUUAAAGAUGUGAUCAAAUAAACCAAUUAUUGUAAUGACAUUAAAUAAAGAUUUAAAAACAAAAUCUAUAAUAUAUGAACAAAACACAAUUAAGUACAUCACUAUAAUUCUACUAGAAAAGUUUUGUUUUUUUAAAUGUAUUACAGUAGUGUAGUUUUGGCCUUAACUAAUGGUCAAGAAUUCAAGUCUCGAAUUUUAUCUUUUUAGCGUACAAUAUAAGGGGGAAAUUUUUUCCAAAACUAAUAAUGAAUAUAUCUACAAGGAAUCGAACUCCUGAGAUCUUAUCAACGAAAUUGCAGCGCCCAACCAGGUGAGCCAGGAGAACCUUGUGAAAGGCAGUGCCUUUUUGUUUACUUGUUUUAUCUUCGCAUAUCAUUAGAUAUUUAUAUAAUACAACAACAACAACAACUACCCAGUAUACUCCCACCAGGUGGGGUCUGGG